ACCUUCGUCUCCAUCUCCAGCGACGUUCUGAACGGCUCAGUUCUCGUCUCUAUCGAGGCGAUAUGACUGAAGAAGUUUUGUCAUCAUUCUUUCUUUUUUUUUUGAGAGAUAGGUAGCACGCUACCCACUUCGUUUAUUUUAUUUAGAAAUAAACUUAGCUGGAAAUGUGAAUCAACUAGGAUUCAAACUUUGGAUCUCGCGUACCAACUACCAAACCCUUUGUGACUUGCUCUAGGGAUAGUCGGUGCCAUCAUUCUUUCACUUGUAGGCAAUAUAGGGGAGAAGUGUGCUCGUGGUGUGGGGGCAUUGGAGGAGAGAAAGAGAGUAAAAAGGGAGAGAAUAGUAAUAUUGUGUUUAAUUUUUAAAAAAUUCGGUUCGAUUCUACAAAAUAAAAAAAAUCUGUUUUCACAAAAAUAUGAAAACUAGUAAAUUUUUAUGUGAAUCGGUCAACUUUAUAUUAAAAAUUUUAAAGUUAAAAUCUAAUUUGUUAAAUAUAUUUUAUAACAUAUCAUAAAUUUUAUAUACUAAUUUCUUAUACA
Molecule: long non-coding RNA, 539 nt
Filed under: Ananas comosus (pineapple)
Lineage: Eukaryota; Viridiplantae; Streptophyta; Magnoliopsida; Poales; Bromeliaceae
Description: long non-coding RNA (ACOM_LNC000348)
Source: RNAcentral